RNAcentral lists this ribosomal RNA (301 nucleotides) under uncultured bacterium. RNAcentral's name for it is "partial 16S ribosomal RNA". It matches the Rfam family "Bacterial small subunit ribosomal RNA", at positions 509 to 807 of the family's 1533-position model. The record is from RNAcentral.
CAGCAGCCGCGGUAAUACGUAGGUGGCAAGCGUUGUCCGGAAUUAUUGGGCGUAAAGGGCUCGCAGGCGGUUUCUUAAGUCUGAUGUGAAAGCCCCCGGCUCAACCGGGGAGGGUCAUUGGAAACUGGGAAACUUGAGUGCAGAAGAGGAGAGUGGAAUUCCACGUGUAGCGGUGAAAUGCGUAGAGAUGUGGAGGAACACCAGUGGCGAAGGCGACUCUCUGGUCCGUAACUGACGCUGAGGAGCGAAAGCGUGGUGAGCGAACAGGAUUAGAUACCCCUGUAGUCCCUGUCUCUUAUAC